AGCAGCCGCGGUAAUUCCAGCUCCAAUAGCGUAUAUUAAAGUUGUUGCAGUUAAAAAGCUCGUAGUUGAAUUUCGGGGUUAGUAGGUUGGUCAUGCCUCUGGUAUGUACUGGUCUCACUGAUUCCUCCUUCCUGAUGAACCUUAAUGCCAUUAAUUUGGUGUUUUGGGGAAUUUGGACUGUUACUUUGAAAAAAUUAGAGUGUUUAAAGCAAGCUAACGCUUGAAUACAUUAGCAUGGAAUAAUGAAAUAGGACGUUCGAUCCUAUUUUGUUGGUUUCUAGGAUUGACGUAAUGAUUAAUAGGGAUAGUUGGGGGCAUUAGUAUUCAAUUGUCAGAGGUGAAAUUCUUGGAUUUAUUGAAGACUAACUACUGCGAAAGCAUUUGCCAAGGAUGUUUUCAUUAAUCAAGAACGAAAGUUAGGGGGUCGAAGACGAUCAGAUACCGUCGUAGUCUUAACCAUAAACUAUGCCGACUAGGGAUCGGAUGAUGUUAAUUUUUUAAUGACUCA
Molecule: ribosomal RNA, 508 nt
Filed under: uncultured glomeraceous AM fungus
Lineage: Eukaryota; Fungi; Glomeromycota; Glomeromycetes; Glomerales; Glomeraceae
Description: SSU rRNA
Rfam family: Eukaryotic small subunit ribosomal RNA
Source: RNAcentral